CAUACCGACACACCUCAUAGCUCCUCAAAGCUAUGUUUGACAUGUACAUUUGAGCCUUUCUAGGUUCCACUAUCCAAGUUUCCUCACAAGCACUUAUGACACGAUCCUGAUCUUGCAUCCUGGACAUGCCUUCCUAUCUAUGGCCAUGUUGCUCAAUAAUGUUCAUAGACUAUUUGUAUAUUGCUAUGUGUUGCUUCUGAUCUCUCCAUCUA
RNAcentral lists this long non-coding RNA (212 nucleotides) under Elaeis guineensis (African oil palm). RNAcentral describes it as "long non-coding RNA (EGUI_LNC036653)". Lineage: Eukaryota; Viridiplantae; Streptophyta; Magnoliopsida; Arecales; Arecaceae. The record is from RNAcentral.